UACAGAGGUCCCAAGCGUUGUUCGGAUUCACUGGGCGUAAAGGGUGCGUAGGUGGCCGGGUAAGUCUGAUGUGAAAUCUCCGAGCUCAACUCGGAAAUGGCAUUGGAAACUAUCCGGCUGGAGGAGUGGAGGGGGGACUGGAAUACUUGGUGUAGCAGUGAAAUGCGUAGAUAUCAAGUAGAACACCAGUGGCGAAGGCGAGUCCCUGGACACUUCCUGACACUGAGGCACGAAAGCUAGGGGAGCAAACAGG
RNAcentral lists this ribosomal RNA (253 nucleotides) under uncultured bacterium. RNAcentral's name for it is "partial 16S ribosomal RNA". It matches the Rfam family "Bacterial small subunit ribosomal RNA", at positions 524 to 776 of the family's 1533-position model. The record is from RNAcentral.